RNAcentral lists this ribosomal RNA (249 nucleotides) under uncultured bacterium. Its description in RNAcentral is "partial 16S ribosomal RNA". It matches the Rfam family "Bacterial small subunit ribosomal RNA", at positions 85 to 339 of the family's 1533-position model. The record is from RNAcentral.
CUUGAGCGGAGUGGCGGACGGGUGAGUAAUACGUAGGAAUCUACCCUAGAGUGGGGGAUAACCUGUCGAAAGACGGGCUAAUACCGCAUACUCUCUAAGGAGCAAAGGUGGCUAGCAAUAGCUUUCGCUUUAGGAUGAGCCUACGUCGGAUUAGCUAGUUGGUAGGGUAAUGGCCUACCAAGGCGACAAUCCGUAGCUGGUCUGAGAGGACGAUCAGCCACACUGGAACUGAGACACGGUCCAGACUCC